RNAcentral lists this transfer RNA (74 nucleotides) under Filibacter tadaridae. RNAcentral describes it as "Filibacter sp. TB-66 tRNA-Asn". It matches the Rfam family "tRNA". From Rfam's summary of the family: Transfer RNA (tRNA) molecules are approximately 80 nucleotides in length. Lineage: Bacteria; Bacillati; Bacillota; Bacilli; Caryophanales; Caryophanaceae. The record is from RNAcentral.
UUCCGAAGUAGCUCAGCGGUAGAGCAAUCGGCUGUUAACCGAUCGGUCGUAGGUUCGAUUCCUACUUUCGGAGU